AACGAACGCUGGCGGCAUGCCUAACACAUGCCAGUCGAACGAGACCUUCGGGUCUAGUGGCGCACGGGUGCGUAACGCGUGGGAACCUGCCCUUAGGUUCGGAAUAACUCCCCGAAAGGGGUGCUAAUACCGGAUAAUGUCUUCGGACCAAAGAUUUAUCGACUUUGGAUGGGCCCGCGUUGGAUUAGCUGGUUGGUAGGGUAAAAGCCUACCAGGGCGACGAUCCAUAGCUGGUCUGAGAGGAUGAUCAGCCACACUGGGACUGAGACACGGCCCAGACUCCUACGGGAGGCAGCAGUGGGGAAUAUUGGACAAUGGGCGAGAGCCUGAUCCAGCAAUGCCGCGUGAGUGAUGAAGGCCUUAGGGUUGUAAAGCUCUUUUACCCGGGAUGAUAAUGACGGUACCGGGAGAAUAAGCUCCGGCUAACUCCGUG
This 433-nucleotide ribosomal RNA is filed under the name uncultured bacterium. RNAcentral's name for it is "partial 16S ribosomal RNA". It matches the Rfam family "Bacterial small subunit ribosomal RNA", at positions 29 to 507 of the family's 1533-position model. The record is from RNAcentral.